AUAAAGCUUGCUCCCCAUAUGUGUGUUGCUUAGGAUAAAGAAGAAGGAGAUAAAAGGUGAGGCACUUGGGCUUGAUGUUAGCAGUUAGAUAAUAAGCUUGCUCAACUGCUCUAGUUGAGUUUAAUGGGUAGGAGGUACCUCCUUUUAUAGUCGUUAGAAGCUCAUCCUUCUCAAGAAACCCUAAUGGGUUCUCUCUAAUUUUGCCAAGUCUCUCCUUUCAUUUCUCUUCUCUCCCUUCG
RNAcentral lists this long non-coding RNA (239 nucleotides) under Prunus persica (peach). RNAcentral describes it as "long non-coding RNA (PPER_LNC001380)". Lineage: Eukaryota; Viridiplantae; Streptophyta; Magnoliopsida; Rosales; Rosaceae. The record is from RNAcentral.